RNAcentral lists this ribosomal RNA (264 nucleotides) under uncultured archaeon. Its description in RNAcentral is "partial 16S ribosomal RNA". It matches the Rfam family "Archaeal small subunit ribosomal RNA", at positions 717 to 982 of the family's 1478-position model. The record is from RNAcentral.
ACACGACUACAUUAGAUACCCGGUAGUCCCAGCCCUAAACGAUGCGCGUUAGGUGUAUCGGUGACCACGAGUCACCGAGGUGCCGAAGGGAAACCGUGAAACGUGCCGCCGUGGGAAGUACGGUCGCAAGGCUGAAACUUAAAGGAAUUGGCGGGGAGCACCACAACGGGUGGAGCCUGCGGUUUAAUUGGACUCAACGCCGGGAAGCUCACCGGAUAAGACAGCGGAAUGAUUGCCGGGCUGAAGACCCUGCAUGACCAGCUG